RNAcentral lists this ribosomal RNA (696 nucleotides) under uncultured bacterium. RNAcentral describes it as "bacterial SSU rRNA". It matches the Rfam family "Bacterial small subunit ribosomal RNA", at positions 94 to 792 of the family's 1533-position model. The record is from RNAcentral.
ACCGGCGCGCGGUAAUUACACGUAUGCAACCUGCCCNGUCAGGGGGACAACCCGCCGAAAGGCGGGCUAAACCCGCGUACAUGCCACCGGGGCAUCCCGGAGCAGGAAAGGCUUCGGCCGGACAGGGAUGGGCAUGCGGCGCAUUAGGCAGUAGGCGGGGUAACGGCCCACCUAACCGACGAUGCGUAGGGGUUCUGAGAGGAAGGUCCCCCACACUGGUACUGAGACACGGACCAGACUCCUACGGGAGGCAGCAGUGAGGAAUAUUGGUCAAUGGUCGGGAGACUGAACCAGCCAAGCCGCGUGAGGGAUGAAGGUACAGAGUAUCGUAAACCUCUUUUGUCAGGGAACAAAGGCGGGGACGUGUCCCCGGAUGAGUGUACCUGAAGAAAAAGCAUCGGCUAACUCCGUGCCAGCAGCCGCGGUAAUACGGAGGAUGCGAGCGUUAUCCGGAUUUAUUGGGUUUAAAGGGUGCGCAGGCGGUCUGUUAAGUCAGCGGUCAAAGCCCGGGGCUCAACCCCGGCCCGCCGUUGAAACUGGCAGUCUCGAGUUGGAGAGAAGUAUGCGGAAUGCGCGGUGUAGCGGUGAAAUGCAUAGAUAUCGCGCAGAACUCCGAUUGCGAAGGCAGCAUGCCGGCUCCACACUGACGCUGAGGCACGAAAGCGUGGGUAUCGAACAGGAUUAGAUACCCUGGUA